This 490-nucleotide ribosomal RNA is filed under the name Enterococcus durans. Its description in RNAcentral is "bacterial SSU rRNA". It matches the Rfam family "Bacterial small subunit ribosomal RNA", at positions 12 to 474 of the family's 1533-position model. The record is from RNAcentral. Lineage: Bacteria; Bacillati; Bacillota; Bacilli; Lactobacillales; Enterococcaceae.
UUUGAUCCUGGCUCAGGACGAACGCUGGCGGCGUGCCUAAUACAUGCAAGUCGUACGCUUCUUUUUCCACCGGAGCUUGCUCCACCGGAAAAAGAAGAGUGGCGAACGGGUGAGUAACACGUGGGUAACCUGCCCAUCAGAAGGGGAUAACACUUGGAAACAGGUGCUAAUACCGUAUAACAAUCGAAACCGCAUGGUUUUGAUUUGAAAGGCGCUUUCGGGUGUCGCUGAUGGAUGGACCCGCGGUGCAUUAGCUAGUUGGUGAGGUAACGGCUCACCAAGGCCACGAUGCAUAGCCGACCUGAGAGGGUGAUCGGCCACAUUGGGACUGAGACACGGCCCAAACUCCUACGGGAGGCAGCAGUAGGGAAUCUUCGGCAAUGGACGAAAGUCUGACCGAGCAACGCCGCGUGAGUGAAGAAGGUUUUCGGAUCGUAAAACUCUGUUGUUAGAGAAGAACAAGGAUGAGAGUAACUGUUCAUCCCUGACG